Long non-coding RNA from Osmerus eperlanus (European smelt), 635 nucleotides. RefSeq lists it as uncharacterized. The transcript is spliced from 4 exons. The record is from RefSeq and is a predicted model, not a curated record. NCBI's taxonomy places the organism in Eukaryota, Metazoa, Chordata, Actinopteri, Osmeriformes, Osmeridae.
UAGUUUACCCUCAGAAGAAAAAUUGUGGCACUCCAAAAAAAAAUGUCGGCGUUCUUGAUGUCAUGUCGUGGCUUCACUGACUCAAAACCUAAAAUAGAUAUUUCAUUACAAUUUAUAUUUUGUUAUUUUAUCGACAGUUGAAACAGCCGAGAAGCCGUCAACGACACGUUGAAAAGGAUUUGAAAAUGCAGCACAACGACGUGAAGUCGAGUAAGAACUAUGAGAAGGCCCUGGACCAGAUGCAUGAAAACCUCAUCUUUUGGCCUCGCUUCAUCAAGAUCACUCAGUACCUCAUCUGACAGUAAGCAACCAUACCAUCUGGUCUGAACACAAGCUUGGCACCCUGAAGUUUAUUAUGGAGACUUCCCCAUCCAUGCAUUUGAAAAGGCUCUGGAAAACAGCCUGUUUGCAGCGAGGAGCCACGCUCCUUGUCAGCCUAAAGGACAUGGACCCAGCCCAAAUAAUCUUCUGACCUGAGCAAUUCCGGCCUAAAAACACCCCCCUGUACGUGCUCUCAAACUCCUUCUCCUGCAUUUUUACCAAAAAAAAAAAAAGGACUUAGCCUUUGCUAAGUUAUUGGUUGAAUAGUUUUUAUUGUAUGUAUUGAUCUGAAAUAAACAUGUUCUAAGGCAGAA